CAGGGCACCCCUCGGGGGCGGGCAUGACCCCUGAACUCCUGUUCAGGGCACAUGGCGAGGCUGGGGUCACUGUUCCCAUCUUACAGUUAAGGAAACAGGGGUUCAGAGAGGUCAGGUCACUUGUUCAAGAACACAAAGUUGAGAAGCUGCAGAUUCAAAUCCGACCUCAAAACCCACUCCCGUUUUCUCCGUACCAGGCCACAACCACCGGGGCCCUGCCCCUCGGAGGGGCCUGGGGGCCAGUAGCCUGGGCAUCAGCUGCCCGUGGUCACCGACGCAGAGCCUGGGCCCUAGUGAAACCAACACCUGCCUCUCAGCAAGAUGGUCGUGAACACUCGCCGUGGGAAAAGAGGCCCUGGUGUGGACAGAAAGACGGACAGCGACGAAGAACGGGCGGGACAAGUUCUCUGUGCUUGGUGGUGACGAGGUUUGCCGUGACGAGAGCUUACGUGGGGGAAGCUUGGGCAUUCUGUCAGGAGGCUCAUCAUGCUGGUUUGUCCUAUCGCUGCUGAUAUAAAUCCGAACACUUGGGUGGGAUGUGGUCUGCCAGGUGCCUCUGCGGUCAAGUUACUGUUUCUCUUUGAACAUAGGAGACACCUUGAGACUGGAGCGGUAUCCCUGCAAGGAAACAGGGCUCAAGUGGUGGAGAAACCCCACCCCCCCCAACCCCCGCCAGAGGAGCAGAGAACCUGGAUUCUGUCCUGUGCUCACUGCUCAGGGGCAAAGGGACCUGCUCCCACCAGUAAAGUAGAAAUGGGAAUGAUUGGGGCGCCUGGGUGGCUCAGUCGGUUGAGUGCCGACUUCGGCUCAGGUCACGAUCUCGCGGUCCGUGAGUUCGAGCCCCGCAUCGGGCCCCUGUGCUGACGGCUCAGAGCCCGGAGCCUGUUUUGGAUUCUGUGUCUCCCUCUCUCUGACCCUCCCCCAUUCAUGCUCUGUCUCUCUCUGUCUCAAAAAUGAAUAAAAACGUUAAAAAAAAAAUUAAAAAAAAAAAAAAAGAAAUGGGAAUGAUUACGGUAGGGAUGGAAUCUGAUAUACAGAAAGGUCCCUGCACACGAAGGCAAUGUGUCUCCCGAGGCCCUGGAAAGGCAGGAAAAGAGCAAGGGAACUUCCUCACGGCAAGGGCGGAAGGAUGCCUUUGAGAAAAGUUGUGCCAAGUUGUCCUGGAGAGGGGGAGCCCUGAACCCUUGGUUAGGAUUCCAAUUCUUGCAAAGGCUCACGGGCACCACAGCUCAUCAGCCUAGGAAGGAUGUCAGCUCCUCUGCUGACAUUGGAGACCGUGUUGCCUUGAUUUCCUCAUCUGUGUAAUGGGGCCAAUAACUACCUAACUCGUAGACUGGCCGUGAAGGUGAAAUGAAAAGACCCACGUGCAGCGUUGAGAGCAAAGCCUGCAUCACUUGAACACAGUGGCAAUAAAAGCCACCACUGUUCUUACUGCGGAGGAAAGAGGGUCAGAUCAGAGUGACCAGACUUGGGAUUUUGGCUUCCCACUUGGCCUCUUUCUAAACCUCAGUUUGCUCAUCUCUUCUUACCAUUCUAUUUUCUUCUUACCGUUUUACAUUUCAUUUUUUAAAACGGGGCUUCACUUACUUAAUCUGUAAAAUGGAAUUAAGAAUAAGAUCCACCUAGGGGCGCCUGGGUGGCCCAGUCGGCUAAGCGUCCGACUCUCGGUUUCGGCUCAGGUCAUGGUCUCACGGUUUGUGAGAUCGAGCCCCGCGUUGGGUUCUGCACUGACCACUCAGAGCCUGGAGCCGGCUUGGGAUUCUUUCUCCUUCUCUCUCUGCCCCUUCCCUGCUUGUGCUCUCUUUCUCUCUCUCUCAAAAUAAAGAAAUAAACUUAAAAAAAAAAGAAAAAGAUAAAGAUCAACCUCGCUGGGGUGCCGUGAGCCAGACAGGCUCACUGAGUUCUCCGUCCUGUCUCUCCUGCUCAUGAAAGCCAGGGACAGAAGGAGGGUGCCAGGGGAGGAUGGGGCCUCUCCAGGCUGGCGGGACGAUACAUGUGAAGUGCCGAGCAGGGUGCCUGACACGUAGUGGGUACCCCAUAAAUGUUAGCUAGUGCUAUCGGUAAUGGGUUGGGUGGUGACCCCUCAAAAAAUAGGUCUGCGACGAAAGCCCUGGAAACAGGGAACACAGCCACAGCAGGUAAUAACAAUACCGACUUUGACGGUCUCUGGAGCACAGGGCUUGACUUCUCUUUCACAGAGAUCUUGUGGUUCACCGCUUACGGUGUGGCCUUCAGUUGCUUCCAGAAUGAGGUUCUCAGCCACUAUGUGAGUGGGAAAGGCAAAUGCAAUCCGCCUGGAGUCAGGAAGAGACUGAGAUCAAAGCACACGGCACUGAAAAUAACUAAAUGGCAGCUGGUUUGUGCAUCCCUGCCCCGUGGGGGCCGUGAG
Molecule: long non-coding RNA, 2389 nt
Organism: Panthera uncia (snow leopard)
Lineage: Eukaryota; Metazoa; Chordata; Mammalia; Carnivora; Felidae
Exons: 4
Source: RefSeq, a predicted model, not a curated record